Molecule: non-coding RNA, 87 nt
Organism: Clostridium sp. CAG:306
Lineage: Bacteria; Bacillati; Bacillota; Clostridia; Eubacteriales; Clostridiaceae
Source: Rfam
GGAGAGGUGUCCGAGUGGUUUAAGGUGCAAACCUGGAACGUUUGUGUGGGGGCAACUCCACCGGGGGUUCGAAUCCCCCCCUCUCCG